AAAUUGAAGAGUUUGAUCAUGGCUCAGAUUGAACGCUGGCGGCAGGCCUAACACAUGCAAGUCGAACGGUAACAGGAAGCAGCUUGCUGCUUUGCUGACGAGUGGCGGACGGGUGAGUAAUGUCUGGGAAACUGCCCGAUGGAGGGGGAUAAC
Molecule: ribosomal RNA, 153 nt
Filed under: Escherichia coli
Lineage: Bacteria; Pseudomonadati; Pseudomonadota; Gammaproteobacteria; Enterobacterales; Enterobacteriaceae
Also listed under: 1 other name
Description: partial 16S ribosomal RNA
Rfam family: Bacterial small subunit ribosomal RNA
Source: RNAcentral